Molecule: ribosomal RNA, 505 nt
Filed under: uncultured bacterium
Lineage: Bacteria
Description: partial 16S ribosomal RNA
Rfam family: Bacterial small subunit ribosomal RNA
Source: RNAcentral
GACGAACGCUGGCGGCGUGCCUAAUACAUGCAAGUAGAACGCACAGUUUAUACCGUAGCUUGCUACACCAUAAACUGUGAGUUGCGAACGGGUGAGUAACGCGUAGGUAACCUGCCUGGUAGCGGGGGAUAACUAUUGGAAACGAUAGCUAAUACCGCAUAAUAUUGAUUAUUGCAUGAUAAUUGAUUGAAAGAUGCUAUUGCAUCACUACCAGAUGGACCUGCGUUGUAUUAGCUAGUAGGUGAGGUAACGGCUCACCUAGGCGACGAUACAUAGCCGACCUGAGAGGGUGAUCGGCGACACUGGGACUGAGACACGGCCCAGAAUCCUACGGGAGGCAGCAGUAGGGAAUCUUCGGCAAUGGACGAAAGUCUGACCGAGCAACGCCGCGUGAGUGAAGAAGGUUUUCGGAUCGUAAAGCUCUGUUGUAAGAGAAGAACGGGUGUGAGAGUGGAAAGUUCACACUGUGACGGUAUCUUACCAGAAAGGGACGGCUAACUACGUG